Non-coding RNA from Pseudonocardia sp. CNS-139, 98 nucleotides. NCBI's taxonomy places the organism in Bacteria, Bacillati, Actinomycetota, Actinomycetes, Pseudonocardiales, Pseudonocardiaceae. The record is from Rfam.
GGAGGCGAGCCCGGCGGUGUCCCCACCCGGUAGCCCUGGCGCACCUUCCCCGGUGCCAGGUCUGCCGGGUGGAGGCAUCGCCGGGACGGGCAGCCGGU